Molecule: ribosomal RNA, 396 nt
Filed under: uncultured bacterium
Lineage: Bacteria
Description: partial 16S ribosomal RNA
Rfam family: Bacterial small subunit ribosomal RNA
Source: RNAcentral
AUACGUAGGUGGCAAGCGUUGUCCGGAAUUAUUGGGCGUAAAGCGCAUGUAGGCGGUGCCUUAAGUCUGUCGUGAAACUGCGGGGCCUAACCCCGUCUGGCGAUGGAAACUGUGGCACUUGAGGGCAGGAGAGGAAAGGGGAACUCCCAGUGUAGCGGGGAAAUGCGUAGAUAUUGGGAAGAACACCGGUGGCGAAGGCGCCUUUCUGGACUGUGUCUGACGCUGAGAUGCGAAAGCCAGGGUAGCGAACGGGAUUAGAUACCCCGGUAGUCCUGGCCGUAAACGAUGGGUACUAGGUGUGGGAGGUAUCGACCCCUUCCGUGCCGGAGUUAACGCAAUAAGUACCCCGCCUGGGGAGUACGGCCGCAAGGCUUAAACUCAAAUGAAUUGACGGGG